Molecule: ribosomal RNA, 492 nt
Filed under: uncultured bacterium
Lineage: Bacteria
Description: partial 16S ribosomal RNA
Rfam family: Bacterial small subunit ribosomal RNA
Source: RNAcentral
AGUGAACGCUGGCGGUAGGCCUAACACGUGCAAGUCGAACGGCAGCACAGUAAGAGCUUGCUCUUACGGGUGGCGAGUGGCGGACGGGUGAGGAAUACAUCGGAAUCUACUUUUUCGUGGGGGAUAACGUAGGGAAACUUACGCUAAUACCGCAUACGACCUACGGGUGAAAGCAGGGGAUCUUCGGACCUUGCGCGAUUGAAUGAGCCGAUGUCGGAUUAGCUAGUUGGCGGGGUAAAGGCCCACUAAGGCGACGAUCCGUAGCUGGUCUGAGAGGAUGAUCAGCCACACUGGAACUGAGACACGGUCCAGACUCCUACGGGAGGCAGCAGUGGGGAAUAUUGGACAAUGGGCGCAAGCCUGAUCCAGCCAUACCGCGUGGGUGAAGAAGGCCUUCGGGUUGUAAAGCCCUUUUGUUGGGAAAGAAAAGCAGCAGGUUAAUACCCCGCUGUUCUGACGGUACCCAAAGAAUAAGCACCGGCUAACUUCGUG